ACCAUGAUAUGCUCUGUGAUGUUGUUGCUAUUUUUCCUCUUGUUCUUUUUGAUCAGGGUCCGCUGACCUAAAAACCUCCCCCCAGAACCCCGUCCCCUGCCCAUCCUAGGCAAUCUGCUACAGCUGGACCCUGUCAACCCCCUCAAAGACCUGGAAAGGCUGAAGAGGCGCUAUGGUAACGUGUUCUGUCUGUACAUCGGAUCACGACCUGUCGUGGUUCUGAAUGGCCUUGAGGUGGUUUGUGAGACACUGGUGACAUGCACAGCUGAAUUUUCAGGACGACCAAACCAUCUCAUGAUCAGCGACAUCACAGAAUGCACAGAAUGCUGUCACCGGGAAAAUGAGGACGUUCUUGAGGGACGUUCAUACACCUUGUUUGAGGACCAACACGCCAUGCCGUACGUUCAAGCGAUGAUCCACAAGUGGAUCAUGUGGAUGGCUGACACGGUUCCUCUUAGCGUGUUCCAUAUGACCUCCUGCAACACGCAACUACUAGGCUACCAGCUGCACCAGGUGAACAUUGACAUGACAACUGAUACUGUUACGUAACUAGCCCACUAAUUUUGCUACACUUGUUAUGUGUAGGUGUCCUACGCCUAGCUAAAUGGUCUCUAACCUGAUUUCAUGUUUGCAUUGUCUGUGAGAAGUAAACGUAUGUGGACCAGGUGUUGAAUGACUGUGCCCGAGGAGACAGCCGAGUUCAGGGCCAGCUCCGUCUUGACCUCUUGAGUCUGCCCAAGCGGAUUAUCAGUUGUUGUUCAAGGUGGUGACCUAAAUACAUAUAAGCAAAAAGAAACUACCAAAAUACAUGCCCAAAAAUAAAGAGGUUAACUAAAACAAAACAAAGAUUACCAGGCUGAGAAGCUCCGUAGCCACCUCUCUCUCACGGAUUGACUAUCCCCUUGAAUGCCUGCACUGUUGUGCUUAAGGACCCGGUUGCUGCUGCCCCCUAGGGAUGAGGUGUGGAAGUGGUAGUGUGUACUGUCUAUGUACGACCACUAAACUACUCCCCAUAUCAUAACAAUAUGUUGCCACUGGUGACCUUAGAACCCUAACAUAAAAACCACACCGCUCGUGUGUUUCAAAAUAAAUGUAAACAUACAUGUUAUUCAAUCAUUACACCCACACUGCUCGCGCGUGUCAACGAGCAUCUGUGUAGCUGUCACGUUCUGACCUUAGUUCCUUUGUUUUGUCUUUGUUUUAGUAUGGGCAAGGGCGUAAGUUGGGGUGGGCAGUCUAUGUUCUUUUUUCUAUAAUUUGGGAUUUCUGUGUUUGGCCUGGUAUUGUUCUCAAUCAUAGGCAGCUGUCAAUCGUUGUCCCUGAUUGAGAACCAUACUUAGGUAACCUGCUUUCAGCUUUGAGUUGUGGGUGAUUAUUUUCUGUUCUGUGUUUUGCUUCACUGUUCAGGACUGUUCGUUUUUGUCAUUUUAUUGUUUUUGUUCAAGUGUUCAGUAUUCAUAUUAAAUACAAUAUGGACACCUACCACGCUGCGCAUUGGUCUGACAUUUCUUACUCCUUGUCUGAGGAGGACGAAGACAAGCGUUACAGUAGCCAGGCGCUAUAAUAGAACUUGGUUCUAUUUGUGAUGCUUGAAGCGCUGCAAGUUCCGCCUCUCCCAUCUCCUAAUUGUUUUUUAGGAGCAUAUACCCACGUGGGUGAUUGAAAGAUGAACUAAGGUCCACACUUCAGUCCUGUUAGUGGUGUUAAUGCACCUUAAAGCUGGUUGCCAACUGCCAUAUAAAGUCCAAAGAAAGGGAAGAAGAUUGAAGAAGGAGAGAUUACUAGAAACAAACUCGGGUUAAACUUUUUAUCUGUGGAUUAAUUGUCGGAGUAGUGGACCUUGUGCAUUUCAGGUAAAAUAACAACCAAAUGAUUAUAUCCAAGGACAAAUUAACUAGCAACAGCAAGCUAGUUAGCUACAGUGCCUUGCGAAAGUAUUCGGCCCCCUUGAACUUUGCGACCUUUUGCCACAUUUCAGGCUUCAAACAUAAAAGAUAUAAAACUGUAUUUUUUUGCUCCAUGAAGAGGGCCAGUGGAAGUUCCCUCAGUUCAGCCCUGACAACUUCCUCAACGAGGAUGGCGAGUUUGUGAAACCAGAGGCCUUUCUGCCAUUCUCAGCAGGUACAGAGAGAGGUAGAGCUAGAGGGAGAUAGAGAAGAUGCAUAGAGACUGAACAAGAGUUCAUGUUAAUAUAAGAUAUAUAAGAGUGUGGACGGUGCAUUCGGAAAGUAUUCAGACCCCUUGUUUUUUUCCCACAUUUUGUUACGUUACAGCCUUAUUCUAAAAUGUGUUAAAAAUAUUUUUUCCCCCUCAUCAAUCUACACACAAUACCCCAUAAUGAAAAAGCAAAAACAUGUUUUUAGAAAUGUUUGCAAAUGUUGUAAAAAUAAAAAACUGAAAUAACCCAUUUACAUAAGUAUUCAGACCCUUUACUCAGUACUUUGUCGAAGCACCUUUGGCAGCGAUGACAGCCUCAAGUCUAAUUGGGUAUGACGCUACAAGCUUGGCACACCUGUAUUUGGGGAGUUUAUCCCAUUCCUCUCUGCGGAUCCUCUCAAGCUCUGUUAGGUUGGAUGGGGAGCAUUGCUGCACAGCUAUUUUCAGGUCUCUCCAGAGAUGUUUUAUAGGGUUCAAGUCUGAGCUCUGGCUGGGCCACUUAAGGACAUUCAGAGGCUUGUCCCGAAGCCACUUCUACGUUGUCUUGGCUGUGUGCUUAGGGUCGUUGUCCUGUUGGAAGAUUAACCUUCGCCCCCAUUCUGAGGUCCUGAGUGCUCUGGAGCAGGUUUUCAUCAAGGAUCGCUCUGUACUUUGCUCUUUUCCUCGAUCCUAACUAGUCAAAACGACUGGGGAAAAAUUAUGCUGCCACCACAAUGCUUCUCCGUAGGGAUGGUGCUAGGAUUUCUCCAGAUGUGAUGCUUGGCAUUCAAGCCAAAGAGUUCAAUAUUGGUUUCAUCAGACCAGAUAAUCUUAUUUCUCAUGGUCUGAGAGUCUUUAGAUGCCUUUUGGAAAACUCCAAGCGGACUGUCAUGUGCCUUUUACUGAGGAGUAGUUUCUGUCGGGCCACUCUACCAUAAAAGCCUGACUGGUGGAGUGCUGCAGGGAUGCUUGUCCUUUGGAAGUUUCUCCCAUCUCCACAGAGGAACUCUAGAGUUCUGUCAGAGUGACCAUCGGCUUCUUGGCCACCUCCCUGACCAACGUCCUUCGCCGAUUGCUCUGGGAAGAGUCUUGGUGAUUCCAAACAUCUUCCAUUUAAGAAUGAUGGAGGCCACUGUAUUAUUGGUGACCUUCAAUGCUGCAGAAAUGUUUUGGUGCCCAUCCCCAGAUCUGUUCCUCAACACAAUCCUGUCUCGGAGCUCUACGGAUGUCACGUUCGUCAUAGUGAGGAGACCAAGGCGCAGCGUAAUUUGAAUAUAUUUAAACAAAGAACACUAAACAAACAAAAAAAAAUAACAAAACGAACGUGACGCUAUAAACACGCGUGCUGACAUGCACCUACACAUAGACAAUAACCCACAAAAACAAAAUGGAAAAAUGGCAACCUAAAUAGGAUCCCCAAUCAGAGACAACGAUAAACAGCUGCCUCUGAUUGGGAACCAAUUCAGGCCACCAUAGACCUACAUUUACCUAGACAAACCAAAACCCCAUAGUUAUACAAAAAAACAUAGACAAGACAAAAACACACAUACCACCCUAACCAAAACAAUAAAGAAAACAAAGAUAACUCAGGUCAGGGCGUGACAACGGACAAUUUCUUCAACCUCAUGGAUUGGUUUUUGCUCUGACCAGCACUUUCAACUGUGGGACGUUAUAUAGACAGGUGUUUGUCUUUUCAAAAUCAUGUCUAAUCAAUUGAAUUUACCACAGGUGGACUCAAAUCAAGCUGUAGAAACAUCUCAAGGAUGAUCAAUGGAAACAGGAUGCACCUGAGCUCAAUUUCGAGUCUCAUAGCAAAGGGUCUGAAUACUUAUGUAAAUAAGGUAUUUCUGUUUUUUAUGUUUAUUAAAUUAGCAAACAUUUCGAAAAGCCUGUUUUCGCUUUGUCACUCUGGGCUAUUGUGUAUAGACGGCUGAGAAUGUUUUUUUUUAGA
Oncorhynchus masou masou (cherry salmon) is the source of this 4087-nucleotide long non-coding RNA. RefSeq lists it as uncharacterized. Lineage: Eukaryota; Metazoa; Chordata; Actinopteri; Salmoniformes; Salmonidae. The transcript has 3 exons. The record is from RefSeq and is a predicted model, not a curated record.